This 268-nucleotide small nucleolar RNA is filed under the name Colletotrichum salicis. RNAcentral's name for it is "Fungal small nucleolar RNA U3". It matches the Rfam family "Fungal small nucleolar RNA U3". From Rfam's summary of the family: Small nucleolar RNAs (snoRNAs) are involved in the processing and modification of rRNA in the nucleolus. There are two main classes of snoRNAs: the box C/D class, and the box H/ACA class. U3 snoRNA is a member of the box C/D class. Lineage: Eukaryota; Fungi; Ascomycota; Sordariomycetes; Glomerellales; Glomerellaceae. The record is from Rfam by way of RNAcentral.
GUCGACAAUACUUCAGAGAAUCAUUUCUAUAGUAUUCGACCUACUCUUGGUUCCCUAAAGGAGCUACAGAUCCCACCCUGGUUGAUGAUUGAUAUCCUCGAUACCCUAGAGUGAUAUGCUCUUGGUUGUUCUCGCACCCUCCGCAAGGAGGGCGUGACAGAAGUCUUGCUUCUUGUCUUGUAUAGAGAACGGUGAUGAUCUCGUCCCCUUUCGCGGUCUUGCCCUUGGGCGCGUGUAAGGGGUGGGCAUCGAUGGACGUCUGACAGGC